Molecule: long non-coding RNA, 30998 nt
Filed under: Nicotiana tabacum (common tobacco)
Lineage: Eukaryota; Viridiplantae; Streptophyta; Magnoliopsida; Solanales; Solanaceae
Description: long non-coding RNA (NTAB_LNC012051)
Source: RNAcentral
CUUGUAAGACAAAAUAAACAAAAAACAAGUGAAACAAUAUAACAAUGAAGCUAACACAGAUUAAACAAAUCAUAAACAUAUUCAAACUUGUUGAAACAAAGAGGUAUAUCCAUCGAUAAAAUAAAGAGAUGAAAAGAAAUGGACCUCAAUAAUUAACUCCUUAGUAUUGACGAGAACUUGGUUACGACAAACUCCGACGAGUCGAAUCUGACCGGGAAAUGAAAUGGCAGGAACUCGGACCGCGAAUCACAUAAUUAACCUCGAACGAUACCAACAACAAAAAACUAGUGAAGAUUAACUUGUUUUGGUGAACACAAAGUGUUUGUGGUAUUGUCUAUUAGUGGAAAGGUGGUGUUGAUUGAGAUUUUUAGGCAAAGAAUGUGGUGUUUCAUGGUGAUGCAGGUGGCGGGUUCAUAAAGUAUUCACAUAGCUUAUUCUUCCAAAUCUCUCUAUUACUCUCUGCCCCUCCUCUCUCUAUGUGUGUGUGCGAGAGCUAAUCGAUUAAGGAAAUGGGGUCGUUUUUCUUUCGAAGGAAGCAGCGGCGUUCAAGGUCCAAAUUCAAAGGUGGGGUCUGCCUUUUUUAAGAUAGAGAUCAAGGUCCUCUUCUUUUCUUGUGUGAUUAGGUUUUAUUUAGCAUUAUAAGAAGGUUGUGGGCUCAAAUGAGUGAUGGGUCAAUUGAUAUUGGGUUUUGGGUAGUGGGCUUGACCAAAUUUGGGCCUCUUUUGGGCCAAGUCAAGCUAAAAAUAAUAGUCUUCUCACAUAAAAACAAGACAAAAUUAGUCCAAAACUUUUCUUCUUAUCUUUUUUUUGGAAAAUAUAUAAUAUCAAUACUAUUUUUAUAUUUUUUAAUUUUUUGAAAGGUAAUGUAUAAAAGAAAAGAGAAUGCCCCGACUCUUAUUUAGAGAGGAUGACAGGUUUUUUGACCCGACCCUUAUUUAGAGAUACCAAACACUAAAAGAAAAGACAAUGUGACCGAGCCCUAAUAUCUGAGCUGCCUACAUAUCCUUGGCUAUAAAGGAAUCAAGUCACGUGUAGUUCAGAAGUGAAUGAGGUAAUGAAGUAUGUGAAGAGGAUGAGAGAGUCGAGUGAGGUUCCGUUCCGUCGAGGUUCCGAUCCGCGGUCUUAUUAUUACAUCAAAAUCAAAAAUGAAAAAGACUAACUAAGACUGUCAGCUAUGAGUUACAAGAUUCUUAUCUAUAAGUCUUCUGAAACUUGAUCUUGAGUCUUGAAUGGUUCUUCAUGCAGACUUUUGAUUUGAACUUUGAUGCUUGCUAGCUGCAGGUGCUGGUUCAUUCUUCCACGACUUCUUCGGAUUAAAACUGGACAUGUAGUGCUCGUGACUUCAGCCAUGUCUUGAGCAGUUCACAUCUUUCUCUGCUUCUACAUUUUGGAUUAACUUCUUUUUUUUCUUUUCUUUUAUUCUGGAUUGAGACUACUUCUAUUGGUCGUCUCGGACUAUUGACCCGCAUUCUUGCCGCAAGCUUCUGCUACUUCUGACUUGAAUUGAAUUCUGAAAUGACUUCCCUUGUUCUCCAGGUGGGCACUUGCUACUAACUUGAAACUUGAAAUAAUUCUGAAACGAAUUACCUCAUUCUCUAGGUGGGUGCCUGCAAUCAAAACCCAAACAAACAAAAAAAUUGCCUCAGUUUGCACUCGGAAGAUUUGUGAGUUGUUAGCAAAACUGUAAACCACUUAUGAUAUUGAUGCAAUGAUGAGAGUAAAUUAAAGACUCGACUAGGAUGUGUUUCUCCUGUGAGUAAAACCAAGAAAAUUUGAUUAGCAAAUUUAUCUACUAAAAAUAAACCCUCAAUGACCCAGAUUAGGAAAUGUGUCUCCUACGGGUGAAACUUGAAUGAACCAAACUAGAAAGUGCAUCUCCUAGGGAUGAAAUCUCAAUUUAGGAAGUGCAUCUCCUAAAAGUAUAUCCUGAAAGACCCAGACUAGGAACUGCGUCUCCUAGGGAUGAAACAUGAAUGAACCAAACUAGAAAGUACGUGUCCUAGGGCUGAAUUUAAAUGACCCAAACUAGGAAGUGCAUCUUCUAGGGGUAAAAUCUCAAUUUAGGAAGUGCGUCUACUAAAAGUAUAUCCUGAAAAACCCAGACUAGGAAGUGAAUCUCCUAGGGGUUAGACUUAAAUGAACCAAACUAGGAAAUACGUCCCCUGGAGCUGAACUUAUCUGACUCAAACUAGGAAGUGCAUCCUAGGGAUGCAAUCUCAAUUUAGAAAGUGCGCCUCCUAAAAGUAUAUCCUGAAAGACCUAGACUAGGAAGUGCGUCUCCUAGGGGUAAGACUCAAAUGACUCAAACUAGGAAGUGUGUCUCCUAGGAGUAAGACUCGACUGACUCAAACUAGGAAGUACGUAUCCUAGGGAUGAAAUCUCAAUUUAUGAAGUGCGACUCCUAAAACAAAAAUAUAACUUGAAAGACCUAGACUAGGAAGUGCGUCUCCUACGAGUGNNNNNNNNNNNNNNNNNNNNNNNNNNNNNNNNNNNNNNNNNNNNNNNNNNNNNNNNNNNNNNNNNNNNNNNNNNNNNNNNNNNNNNNNNNNNNNNNNNNNNNNNNNNNNNNNNNNNNNNNNNNNNNNNNNNNNNNNNNNNNNNNNNNNNNNNNNNNNNNNNNNNNNNNNNNNNNNNNNNNNNNNNNNNNNNNNNNNNNNNNNNNNNNNNNNNNNNNNNNNNNNNNNNNNNNNNNNNNNNNNNNNNNNNNNNNNNNNNNNNNNNNNNNNNNNNNNNNNNNNNNNNNNNNNNNNNNNNNNNNNNNNNNNNNNNNNNNNNNNNNNNNNNNNNNNNNNNNNNNNNNNNNNNNNNNNNNNNNNNNNNNNNNNNNNNNNNNNNNNNNNNNNNNNNNNNNNNNNNNNNNNNNNNNNNNNNNNNNNNNNNNNNNNNNNNNNNNNNNNNNNNNNNNNNNNNNNNNNNNNNNNNNNNNNNNNNNNNNNNNNNNNNNNNNNNNNNNNNNNNNNNNNNNNNNNNNNNNNNNNNNNNNNNNNNNNNNNNNNNNNNNNNNNNNNNNNNNNNNNNNNNNNNNNNNNNNNNNNNNNNNNNNNNNNNNNNNNNNNNNNNNNNNNNNNNNNNNNNNNNNNNNNNNNNNNNNNNNNNNNNNNNNNNNNNNNNNNNNNNNNNNNNNNNNNNNNNNNNNNNNNNNNNNNGGUGAAAUCACAAUUUUAGGAAGUACGUCUCCUAAAAGUAUAUCCUGAAAAACCCAGACUAGGAAGUGCAUCUCCUAGGGAUGAAAUAUCAAUUUAGUAAGUACGUCUCCUAAAUGUAUAUCCUGAAAGACCGAGACUAGGAAAUGCGUCUCCUAGGAGUGGAACUUCAAUGACUCAAACUAGGAAGUGCGUCUCCUAAGAGAAAAUAUAACUUGAAAGAGCAGACUAGGAGGUACGUCUCCUAGGGGCGAAACUUUAAUGACUCAAAUUAGGAAGUGCAUCUCCUAGGAAUGAAUUUAAAUGACCAAAGCUAGGAAGUGCGUCGCCUAAAAAGUAUAAUCUGAAAGAUCCAAACUAGAAAGUGCGUCUCCUAGGGGUAAAACCUUAGACUCAAACUUAAAUGACCCAAACUAGGAAGUGCGUUGAUAACUAGGGAUUCUAAGUUUUGGAUUAAAAGUUUGUACAAGUAUUCCCGAAAACUAAUUUAUUGUGCUUGUUUGCAUUUUUUAGUCAAUAAGAGACAAGGAAGUCAUAACCAGCUCAAAAAGGAGUGAAACCUGCACAAGUUCAAAAGCUGGGUUAAACGAGCAUUGACAGCGAAGAAACAAGUGCGGACGCGGGGAGUCCACCGCUGAGGCGGUCUUGAUUUCGCUCUCAGCAGUGGCAAGGUUUAGAGAUCUACAAUUUUGGGCUUAACAAGUCACUGCUGACUGUGGUGAUUUUGCGCGGCAGCGGUGACUUCAGUGUGUUUGCGGUGCAUUUACCGCCCUCAGCGAAAGCCAGUUUCAGAGGACCAAGAAUGGAGCUAAAGUUUGAAGACUGCGGUCCGCGCUUGAUUUUGUGCGGCCGUGGUAGUCUCAGCGCUGCAGCGGUCCAUUUUCCCCUAUCAGCGGUACCUCUGUAGGGGCAUUUUUGUCUAAAAAAUUUAGUUGUGUAUAAAUAGUUCUUUUUCAGAUUUUUAGGGCAUCUGUUAUUUAGCUGAGCACGUUAACCACCUCUUUUUACCUUUUUGAGUAAUUUUAGAGCUUGUUUAACAAUUAAUCUUAGAUUCUUAUCUUGUAAUUACUUUUUAUGUCUUCUAUUUCAUCUCAAUCUAUGAUUUCUUAUUUGAUUAUGAGUAGUUAAACCCCUUAGCUAGGGUUGUGGCUUAACCAUAGUAUGGGUAUAUAAUGAGUCUUCUAUUUUAGGGCUUAAAUAUUUAUGAGUGAUUGAUAUUUGGCCUGAUUUAUGCUUAAAAUGUUAAAUUGGUGGUUGCAAACACUAAUUUGUGCCUUUUUGACUUAGGCUCUUCUUGAGAAAGAGAGUAUACGUCUAGGAAAUUCAGGACAACAAGGAAUUGGGGUGCAUUCAAGAGAUUGAUAGCCUCAAUUAAAGGGUUAAACCUAGAGAUAGUAAUACCCGACUUGAGCCAAUUUUGCUUGCAUUGUUUGAACACCCAAUUGGGCUUGAGAAAGCCAAUUAGGGCAAAGUCACUCAAACUACCGAGAGGUAUAGAGUGAGUAGUUACGUGCAAUGGCUAUAUCAUGAUCCCAACUAUAACAAAUUUGCCCUAAGUUUUAGAUCUCUUUAGACACUCACCUAGGAGUAAGUCACUUCCCUAGUGCCUUUCUACCAAUUAAGAAAACUCCAUACAAAAAUAUCAUACUUAUUUUAAUUUCCUGUAUCAUUAGUAUUAAAUUAGAGUAGUAAAAAAAUAAAGAAUGAUUGGAAGUGCAAUCAAGAACACUGCGUAUUGCUAGAUUAGAUAGGAAUCCAACUCCAAACAUAUCUUAGCUCCCUGCGGAUUCGAUCCCGACCUUUUCGGGUAAAAGCUGCAUUGACCGCUCUUGCCACUCUAUAGUGGUGUAGGGUUAGAAUCGAUCACCUUUUGGCGCCAUUGCUGGGGAGAUAAAUGGUUUUUGGCUAUCUAUCUGAUCAAUUUUGUGUAUUGUUUUUCUUUCCUUCUGUGUUACUAACUUGUGUGUGUCAUCAAUUCAGAUACAAAAUGGCAAACAAUGAUCCUCUUGGAAAUAUUCUGCCGAGGGAGAAGGUAGAUGAUAAUGGUGAAGAUGAGGUGCCUCUAGUACCUCAAGGUCAAAGAAAAGGCCGCUAGACUAAUGACAAUGUUCCAGACCCUCCCCCGCCUCCUUCAAGAGUCACUCCUCAGGUGCUUCCAAAUGAAGGAUACACAAGUGCAAUUGUCCCACCCCGAAUCCAGGCAGGUAAUUUUCAAAUUACAAAUGUGAUGUUGACUUUAUUGGAGCAGUAAGGGUACUUCGUUGGUGCUCCCCGUCAGAAUGCAUAUAAACAUAUUAAAGGCUUUGUGGAUACCUGCUGGGGAAGCAAACAGAUCAUUGUGUCGGAGGAUGCAUUGAGAUUGAGAUUAUUCCCUUUUCACUCAGAGGGAAAGCUUUGGACUGGUUUGAAAGGCUUCCCAACCAUUCCACCACUACGUGGGAUGAGAUGGCUGACAAGUUUAUAGCUAAGUUUUUCUUGCCAGGGCAUAUGACAACUUUGAGAGAUGAGAUUUUGGCCUUCAAACAGGAACCUAAUGAACCACUUCAUAAGAUCUAGGAGAGAUAUCGGACAAUGGUGAAAGAAUGUCCGAAUAAUGACAUGACCAAAGCAAUGAUCCAGCAGACAUUCUACUGUGGCAUUAACACGGCCAAUCAGUGUGUAGUUAACCAGCUAGCAGGGGGAAAUUUUAUGAACACGCCUUAUGUUGAGGCGUGUGAGAUAUUGGAUGAGAUGAAAGAUAUUUCCUCAGCUUGGCAAAGUCGAGCUAAUGUGCCACAGGGUGAUCCGACUGUCAUUCACUUGCACAAAGAGCUCCAUGACCAUGGCUAGGCAAUAAUAGAGUUAACUACAACAAUGAACCAGUUGGCAAAAGCUCAAUUGCAACAAGUUCAAGCGACGAGGCAAGUAAAUGCUAUGGAAGUGUCAACGUGUUGGUCAACAAGAGGUGACAAAGAGGUCAACAAGGUCAAGGUAGUCCGGAUCAAUAUGAGCAGGGUAGUGGUGGUUUCAACUAAGAUGAUGAAUAUGAUGAGCAAAGUGAAGAAGUGCAGUACGAGAACAAUUAUCAAGGCCAAAGGGGCAGUGCUCCUAACCAACAACAUUAGAAAUCCCAAGGAAAUUGGGGGAAUCAAAACCAACAAGGAAAUAGCAACUGGGGGAACAACAAUUAGAAUUGGGGAAAUCAGAACAACCAGGGCAACUGGAGUGGAAACAAAAACAACUGGGGAGGAACGAACAACCAAGGGGGUUGGAAUAAUAGCAAUAAAGGGAAUCGAGGGCAAGGCUUUCAAAGACCUCCGAUGUAUCAACAACCAAACAACCCGCCUCCAUUUCCGUCCCAAGGUCCUAGCUCGUCAAACAAUGAGAUGGGAAGGAUCGAGAUGAUGUUUCAACAAAUGAUGAAAAAGAAUAUCGACUCUGAUGCCCAGUUGGAAUCCUAUAAUGCUUCAAUCCGAAAUUUGGAGGUUCAACUUGGCCAGAUUUUGCAAAUUUUGAAUACUCGCACUAAGGGGGCUCUACCUAGUGAUACUGUAGUAAACCCGAAGGGUGAGAACAACAUCGGGCAUGCAAUGGCAGUGAUUACUAUAAGCGGUCAAGGUGGUGAUGUAAAUACCUCCAAGCAAAAGGAAAUUGUGAGUGAUGAGGUUGAAGUACAAGAUGAUGAUGUUCCUAUAGUUGAUGAGCAAGUGAGUGAAGAGAAUUUGAAUGCAGAAGUAAGAAUUGAUAUUCAUGAUAAUGAGGUGGAGACUCAAAAUGACGUGAACCCGUCUAGGGAACAUGUAAUAGACAUACCGGAAAUGGUAGCGCCCAAGGCUAAGGCUCCCUUGCCAAGGCCUUCUCCACCUUACCCUCAAAGGCUUGCGAAGCAAAAGAAUGAAAACCAAUUUAAGAAGUUUAUUGAGAUGAUGAAAAGCUUGUCGAUCAGUGUUCCUUUGGUGGAAGCUCUUGAACUAAUGCCAGGUUACGCCAAGUUCAUGAAAGACUUGGUGACUAAAAAGAGAUCCAUGGAUUGUGAGACCAUUAAAAUGACUCAUCAAGUAAGUGCAAUUGUGCACUCGAUGGCUCCAAAGCUUGAAGAUCCCGGCACUUUCACCAUGCCAUGUACCAUUGGGAGUGCGGAUUUUGCAAAGGCAUUGUGUGAUUUGGGAGCAAGUAUCAAUUUGAUGCAUUACUCCGUGUUCAAAACUUUGGGUAUUGAUCAACCGAGAGCUACUUCAAUGAGAUUGCAAAUGGCGGAUAGAACAAUGAAGAGGUCGCUUGGUAUUAUUGAUGAUGUUCUUGUCCGGGUGGACAAGUUUAUCUUGCCUGCUAAUUUUGUGAUUUUGGACUGCGAGGUCGAUUAUGAGGUGCCGAUUAUAUUGGGUAGUCCUUUCCUUGCAACUGAGAAGGCAUUGGUUUAUGUGGAAGCAGAUGACCUCACCUUCCGGGUGGGUGAUGAAAAAGUAGUCUUUCAUGUGUGCAAAUCAAUGAAGCAACCGAAUAGUACUGAAGUGUGCUAUUUUGUGGAUCUUGUCACGGAGGUGAUAGUUGAUGAUACUAGUGCCAUGAUCAAUAUGGAUGAUCCAUUGGAAGCGGUAUUGUUGAACCUUGAUGUGAAUGAGGAUGAAGGUCGGGUAGAGUGUGUCAAUGCUUUGCACGGAAUGGGCUCUUAUUCUUAUGAGCCCUGUAAGCUCUCUUUGGUUCUUGAGAACAGAAAGACUCCACCAACAAAGCCCUCAAUUAAGGAACCUCCCAUUUUGGAGUUGAAGCCUUUUCCCUCACAUCUCAGUUAUGAAUUCUUCUUGAGAACAGACAAACUCCACCAACAAAGCCCUCAAUUGAGGAACCUCCCAUUUUGGAGUUGAAGCCUUUUCCCUCACAUCACAGUUAUGAAUUCUUAGGCCCUAGUUCAACUUUACCUGUUAUUCUUUCAUCUUGUCUUACUAAUGUGCAGGUAGAUGCAGCACUGAAGAUGCUCCAAAUAAGAAAGAAGUCAAUUGGAUGGACUCUAGCUAAUAUUCAGGGAAUAACCGCCUUUUGCAUGUACAAGAUUAUACUCAAAGAUGAUGCCAAGCCCUCCAUGGAACAUCAAAGGAGGUUGAACGAGACUAUGCAAGAGGUUGUCAAAAAGGAGGUGAUCAAGUGGUUAGAUGCAGGGGUUGUGUACCCCAUCUCAGAUACUUCUUGGACUUCGUCGGUGUAAUGUGUGUCGAAGAAGGGUGGUAUGCCUGUGGUUACCAAUGAACAAAAUGAGUUGAUUCCCACCAGGACUGUCACCAGAUGGAGGGUGUGCAUGGACUACCGCAAGGUGAAUAAAGUGACCCGCAAGGAUCAUUUUCCAUUGCCCUUUCUUGACCAAAUGCUAGAUAGACUUGAUGGGUGUGCCUUCUACUGUUUCUUGGAUGGGUACUCAGGUUACAACCAGAUUUUGAUUGCUCCGGAAGAUCAGGAGAAAAAAACCUUCACGUGUUCGUAUGGCACCUUUGCAUUUUCUAGGAUGCCAUUUGGUUUGUGUAAUGCACCGGCUACCUUCUAGCAGUGUAUGAUGGCUAUAUUUACCGAAAUGGUGGAGGACUUCUUGGAAGUGUUCAUGGAUGAUUUCAGUGUUGUGGGCAACUCCUUUGAUGAGUGUUUGAAGAAUCUUGACAAAGUGUUGUCCCGGUGUAAAAAGACAAAUCCUGUGCUUAACUNNNNNNNNNNNNNNNNNNNNNNNNNGCACAAUAUAGAAGUGGACAAGGCUAAAAUUGAAGUGAUCUUAAAGCUUCCUCCUCCUACUUCAGUCAAGGGGGAUAGGAGUUUUCUUAGGCAUGUGGGGUUCUACCGAAGAUUCGUCAAAGACUUUUCUAAGGUAGUGAAUCCUUUGUGCAAAUUAUUGGAAAAGGAUGCUAAGUUCGUGUUUAAUGAGGAAUGUAUGAAAGCUUUUGAACUUCUUAAGUGCAAAUUGACAACCACUCCCAUUGUUACCGCACCCAAUUGGAGCUUACCUUUUGAGCUCAUGUGUGACACAAGUGAUGUUGCGGUAGGAGAAGUCUUGGGUCAAAGAGUAAACAAAAUGUUUCACCUGGUGUAUUAUGCAAGCAAAAUUAUGAAUGAUGCUCAAGUGAAUUACACGAUGAUGGAAAAAGAGUUGCUAGCAAUUAUGUUUGCAAUGGAAAAGUUUAGGCCUUAUCUCAUGGGGGCCAAGGUGAUAAUUCAUACUGACCAUGCAGAACUCCGCUACUUGAUGACAAAGAAGGAUUCUAAGGCUCGGUUGAUGAGAUGGGUUCUAUUGCUUCAAGAGUUUGACCUUGAGAUUGUUGACCGGAAAUGGAGUGAAAACCAAGUGGCGAACCACUUGUCCCGCUUGGAGGAGGAGGGGAGGCCCGGUGAUGGCCUCGAAAUUAAUGAUUCAUUCCCUGAUGAGCAACUCCUCUCCAUAUCUGUGAAUAGCAUGCCUCGGUUCGCGAAUGUUGCCAACUUUCUUGUGACUACUAUUGUUCUGUGUGAGCUCUCUUCUAACUAAAGGAAGAAGCUUAAACGGGAUAGCUUGGACUACUACUGGGAUGAUCCCUACUUGUUCAAAAUCUGUAAUGACGAUGUGAUCUGGAGAUGUGUUCCAGAAGAGGAGCAAAUGAGUAUUCUGGAUGCUUGUCAUUCCUAUCCCUACGGUGGUCAUUAUGGUGGGGCGAGGACAACUUCAAAGGUGCUUAGCUGUGGUUUUUAUUGGCUGAGUGUGAGCACGUGAAUUUUUCCAUAUAUGAAAUACUCCUACAAAUUAAAAGAAGUAAUUUUUUCCCAAUUAUUUGCAAUUUUAUAGGAUUUUUGGUAGGAUUUUUUUGUUAUUUAUUUUCAUCUUUGUGCAUGUUUACUUUUGUUAAAAUCACAAAAACAAUACAAAAAAUACAGUACGUUGCAUUUAGAUUUUGUUUUCAUGUCUUUAGGAUUAAUUAGUUAAUUCAUUGUUUUACUGAAAGGAAAAUCACAAAAUUAGCUGAUUUUUACAUUUAUUGUUUUUAAUUCUUAAAUUAGUAAUUUUUCUCCUUUUAGUUAGGAUCAAGUAAUUGUUUAAAUUUUUAGUUAGAUAAUUAGUGUAACUUUACGAUUUAGAUAAUUUAGGAAUUUAAUUUAGAAUUUUAUUAAUUAAAGAAAAAAAGGGGCAAACAAACAAAAAAAAAGAAAAAAAGAAAAGAAAAAGGGAAUUAAAUAAAAAACAAGAAGGAGCUGCCUUAACUUGGGCCAAAUGCUGAAGCCCAAGCUUUUUAACCCAAGACCCGCCCCAAAAUCUCCUCUGAUCCAGGCCCAAAUCGGAACACUCGGUCCAACCUUACCCCAUACCAAACGACCCCAUUUUGGUGCCCUUAUCAUCACAGCCGUUGAUCUUACGUGAACCAACAACUGUGAAUUAGGCACCAGUGUUAUAUUUAAUUGUCCAAACACAAACCUCCCCCCCCCCCAAACCCUAACUCACAACCCAUUUCGUCUCUCUCUCUCUCAUCUCGUUGAACCCAAGCCGCCCCUAAAACCUCCAUCAACCAACCGCAUUCCAACCCCACCAAACGGCUUCCAAAUCCGCUUAAAUCCACACCCCAUAUUGUUCAUGCCCACCUCACUACCGAGCCACCCAUUAAACUCCUGAAAAAGCAAACCAAUUGCUCUUAAUUUCAGAUCUAGAGAUUCCAGAAUUAGCCAUAUUUUUCCCUUUUCGAUUUUCUUCAUAAAUCCGACUCAUUUUGACUAAAAACAUAUGUUAAUAGACUGAUAUUUACAAGAGCAAUCGAUUGACGGUAGUUGUUAGUCACUUCGAGACCGCCGGAUUUGGGUAACUUGUCGGAUUUCUGCCGAAAUUCAUCAUUUGUAUCUUUCUUGGGGCAGGUUUGGGGUAAGAGCUCUCACAAUUCGUCUUUUUAUCAUUAUCUUAGCUUGCAUGAUUCUGAUUUGUAGAUUAAUUUAGGGUUAAGUUUCAUGUUUAUUUAUUAAAAUUUGUUUGAAUUCUCAGUUCAAUGGCUGAAUUAGUCAUCCUUAGCAAUUUCUUGUCGAUGUUUGUUCAUGUUGUUCCUCAACUUGAUUCAUGACAAAAUUAGUUAGGGUUGGGAGUAAUUCAGGAUUUAAUUUCACAAGUAUUUAUUGUUUUUUUCUUAUUAUUGAUUCGUGCCCAGUUUGUUUUGUUUGUCGGUUUUGUUUUGUGGACAAAUUAAACUUGUGAGGAGUAAAAGGGUUCGAAAUAGUAACUUAAGGGGGGGUAAUUUGGGGUUUAGAAAUGAGGGUUUCAGAUAAGGUAUCUAGAGGGUUCUGGAGCAUGGACAGCUAGCUUUAUCCUACCAGUACAAGUUGCUGAAGCCAAUUAGAAAUGGCCAGAUGUUCAAUUGUUGUUAAAAAGAUGCUUUAUGAGGGGUGUUUUCAAGAAAAUUAUUCCUUGGUUGUGAAGGGACACGAUAGAUUUUUGGGGUAUAAAUAAAGUCUUCUCCUCACUGAAUGGAACACGGAAUAGACUCUAGAAAAUAUCUUUCUGAAAAUUCAGUUUACUUUUUUCAUCAUUUUUUUUAGUUUUCUGCUUUGGACCUCAAGUUUUAGAGUAGUUUUUCCUUGAUAUUCUCGGGGUUCUAAUAUCUAAAAUGGCUAGAAUCUGAAGUCUUUCCAUAUUAGCUAUCAAGUUUUAUUUUCUGGGUUUUUGAAGAGGGUUUUGGAAGCCUUUCCCACUGACCCAACAUUCCCUCUUGUCAAGCAGAAGUUAAGAAAGUUCAAAACUGACAUGUGUGUGAAGAUCAAGGAGGAAAUCGCAAAGCAGUUGGACGCAAAGGUCAUUCGAGUCACGCGAUACCCCAUUUGGUUUGCUAAUGUUGUGCCAGUGCCAAAGAAGACGGCAAGACCAGGGCGUGCAUUGAUUAUUGCCAUCUCAACAAAGCAAGUCCAAAGGAUAAUUUUCCAUUGCCAAAUAUCCACAUUUUAAUUGACAACUGUGCCAAGCAUGAGAUCGGUUCUUUUGUGGAUUGCUAUGCGGGGUACCACCAGAUCUUGAAGGAUGAGGAGGAUGCAAAAAAGACAGCAUUCAUCACAUUAUGGGGAACUUAUUGCUACCGGGUAAUGCCAUUUGGUUUGAAAAAUACUGGGGCAACUUAUAUGAGGGCGAUGACUACUGUGUUCCAUGACAUGAUACACAAGGAGAUUGAGGUUUAUGUGAAUGAUAUGAUCAUAAAGUCAAAGCAACAGGCCGACCAUGUUGGAGAUUUGAGGAAGUUUUUCUAAAGGCUCCGCAGGUACAAUUUUAAGCUUAACCCUGCCAAGUGUGCAUUUGGUGUUCCAUUUGGAAAACUGUUGGGAUUCAUAGUUAGUCGUCGAGGCAUUGAGUUGGACCCGUCAAAAAUCAAAGUUAUUCAAGAAUUGCCACCUCCAAGGAAUAAGGCUGAGGUGAUGAGUCUGCUUGGGUGUUUAAUCUACAUCAGCAGGUUUAUUGCUCAAUUGACGACAACUUGUGAGCCCAUCUUCAAGUUGCUGAAAAAGGAUGUUGCGGUCAAAUGGACUAAUGAAUGCCAGGAGGCAUUUGAUAAAAUCAAAGGGUACUUGUCAAACCCACCUGUGUUGGUCCUACCGGAACUCGGGAGGCCUUUAAUUCUUUAUUUGAUAGUCCUAGACAAUUCAUUUGGCUGCGUGUUGGGUCAACAUGACAUUACUGGCAGGAAGGAGCAAGCCAUCUAUUAUCUUAGCAAGAAGUUCACAUCUUAUGAGGUUAAGUAUACUCCCCUUAAAAAGACAUGUUGAGCCCUGAGUUGGGUGGCACAAAAGUUGAAGCAUUACCUGUCAUCCUAUACUACUUACCUCAUUUCUCGCCUGGAUCCUCUAAAGUAUAUUUUUCAGAAGCCUAUGCCCACAGGGAGACUUGCAAAGUGGAAGAUUUUGCUCACAGAAAUUGACAUUAUCUAUGUGACUCGGACCUCAAUGAAAGCCCAAGCAUUGGACGAUAAUUUGGCCGAGAAUCCGGUGGAUGAAGAGUACGAACCAUUGAGAACUUAUUUUCCCAAUGAAGAGGUGAUGCAUAUUGACGAGGCGGAGCAGGUUGAAAAACUAGGUUGGAAACUUUUCUUUGAUGGAGCCACUAAUAUGAAAUGUGUCGGAAUAGGGGUUGUGCUUAUUUCUAAAACAGGGCAUCACUACCCUGUUACAGCCCAACUUCGUCUCUAUUGUACCAACAACAUGGUUGAGUACGAGGCAUGCUUUUUAGGAUUGAGGUUAGUAGUAGAUAUGGGGGUUUAGGAAGUCUUGGUCUUGGGAGACUCGGAUCUUUUGGUGCACUAGAUUCAAGGAGAAUGGGAGACUCGGGAUUUAAAGCUCAUACCAUAUCGGCAAUGUUUGCAUAAUCUUUGUCAACGGUUCUGAUCAAUAAAAUUCAGGCAUAUUCCAAGGAUCCAUAAUGAGGUUGUCGAUGCUUUGGCUACCUUGGCAUCAAUGUUGAACCAUCCAGACAAAGCCUAUGUUGACCCUCUGCAUAUUCAAGUUCGUGAUCAGCAUGCCUGUUGUAAUGUGGUUGAGGAAGAACUUGACGGUGAACCGUGGUUCCAUGAUAUUAGGGAAUACAUUAGGAUAUGGGUAUAUCUGGUACAAGCCACAAGUGAUCAAAAGAGAACAAUUCGGCGUUUGGCUAGUGGAUUUUUCUUGAGCGGGGGAAUUUUGUACAAAAGAACUCUAGAUGUUGGGUUGUUGAGGUGCAUAGACGCUAAGAAAGCCACAACUAUCAUGACCAAAGUGCAUUCUGGAGUUUGCGGGCCGCAUAUGAGUGGGUUUCUGGCAAAGAAAAUUCUUAGAGCAAGGUAUUACUUACUCACCAUGGAACAAGAUUGCAUCAGCUUUGUGCGCAAGUGUCAUCAAUAUCAGGUACACGAAGACUUGAUCCAUUCUCCGCUCUCUGAGUUGCAUACAAUGUCCGCACUGUGGCCCUUUGUUGCUUGGGGCAUGGAUGUCAUUGGACCAAUUGAGCCCGCGGCAUUAAAUGGGCACAGGUUCAUUCUGGUGGCCAUCGAUUAUUUCACUAAGUGGGUUGAAGCUAAGACUUUCAAAUCUGUGACCAAGAAGGCAGUGGUCAAUUUUGUUUAUUCAAAUAUCAUUUGUCGGUUUGGAAUCCCAAGGGUAAUCAUCACGGAUAAUGGUUCUAAUCUUAACAGUCAUUUGAUGAAAGAAGUAUGCCAACAGUUCAAGAUUACGCAUCAAAAUUCCACCCCGUAUUGCCCCAAGGAUAAUAGAGCAGUCAAGGCAGCCAACAAGAACAUAAAGAAGAUACUUCGGAAAAUGGUGCAAGAUUCCAAGAAAUGGCAUGAAAAGUUGCCCUUUGCUUUGCUGGGAUAUCGCACUACUGUUCGCACUUUAGUAGGUGCAAUUCCUUAUUGCUGGUAUAUGGUACUGAAGCAGUGAUACCCACGGAAGUUGAAAUUCCAUCCCUUCGGAUUGUUGCUGAAGCCGAACUUGAUGAUGAUGAGUGGGUCAUAACCCGUUUGGAGCAAUUAAGUCUGAUUGACGAGAAAAGACAGGCAGCAGUGUGUCAUGGCUUGUUGUACCAAAAGAGAAUGGCAAGAGCAUACAACAAAAAGGUGCAUCCCAGGAAAUUUGAAGUGGGUUAGCAAGUAUUGAAACGCAUCCAUCCACAUCAAGCUUAAGCGGAAGGCAAGUUCGCCCCAAAUUGGCAGGGGUCGUUCGUGGUAACGAAAGUGUUGUCCAUUGGUGCUUUGUAUUUAACAGAUAUAGAAGGCAAAUGUGUAGAUAUGGCUAUUAAUUCUGAUGCAGUCAAAAGAUAUUAUGUAUGAUUUCUUUGGUUUAAAUUGUGUUGUUUGUACUUGGCAUGUUUUGAAGAUUGGAAUGACGAAGGCAUUUUANNNNNNNNNNNNNNNNNNNNNNNNNNNNNNNNNNNNNNNNNNNNNNNNNNNNNNNNNNNNNNNNNNNNNNNNNNNNNNNNNNNNNNNNNNNNNNNNNNNNNNNNNNNNNNNNNNNNNNNNNNNNNNNNNNNNNNNNNNNNNNNNNNNNNNNNNNNNNNNNNNNNNNNNNNNNNNNNNNNNNNNNNNNNNNNNNNNNNNNNNNNNNNNNNNNNNNNNNNNNNNNNNNNNNNNNNNNNNNNNNNNNNNNNNNNNNNNNNNNNNNNNNNNNNNNNNNNNNNNNNNNNNNNNNNNNNNNNNNNNNNNNNNNNNNNNNNNNNNNNNNNNNNNNNNNNNNNNNNNNNNNNNNNNNNNNNNNNNNNNNNNNNNNNNNNNNNNNNNNNNNNNNNNNNNNNNNNNNNNNNNNNNNNNNNNNNNNNNNNNNNNNNNNNNNAAAAGUAACAACAACAAAGCAAUUCCUAUGACAUGAACUACGUUUGACCUGAUUUCUUUUAAGGAUAAGUAGGCAGCCUCACGGUUCUGUCCCAUCAAAAUAAAAACUCAAAAGUCCCCAGGCAAAGAAACUGGGGCAGAAGUUGUGGUUCCGUAAAAGAUCUGAUUCCAAAAGUUGUAAUUUUGAACACAUUCAAGUUGUUUUGAGCCUUUAUCCAUUAUUUCUAACCCCAUCUAAAAACCCACAUUGCAGUCCAAAGAAAGACUUUCCGAUUAAUAUUUGAGAAUGCCAAGUCAAGCGAGGUAGAGGUACAAUUCGCAUCAGGGGCAACACUCCGUCCUGCACAAGGAAAAUGAGCAAAUGAGAGAAUCCUAUUGGUGAAAACCCUCGUGAGCAUUGUAGGGCGAUGGAAAGAUGAGAGAAAUCAAAAUGAAAGAGUCUUAUCGGUGAAAACCUUCACAGGCACCGUAAGGCGAUAGUGAGUUGAGAGAUGAACAAAUGAGAGAGGUUUGUCGGUGAAAACCCUUCAGGGCGCCUCUAGCCGAACAAGGUUGGUGACUUUGCAAAGAGAUUGGAAUAUGGAAAUACCGGGGCAUAAAGUAUGACAACUGAAAGGUGAUUGGUUGAAUAGGCUGGGCUGAUUAAUCCGAAAUGCAUGUCAUGAUCAUUGGUGCCAGUCGCCUCACUCAAAUAAGUCUCUUUUCCUUUUCUCCCCCAGACAAUCAUCUUGUUUCGAAUUUUCUUCUUUAUUCCUAACUCUCGAAGUCAUUGCAUUUCAUUUCUUUUGGGUUUAUUUCUUUAAGGUUUUUCCAAUGUCAGCCUUGUUUAAGCAAGUAAGAAAGGAUUUCAAAGCUUACUACUAACUUCCAAAUUGCACAAAGCAAAGUGUGGCCAAAACAUACCAGAAAUAGCACAAUGCAAAAAUGCAAAAUAAGGUGUUAGUGAAAGUUUAAGUGGUCGAGUGGUUUGUGAAUUUUGUGGAAGAUGCAGAGGUUCAAAUUGGAAGGGCAAAAAUGUAAAACAGCGGGUUGAGUGCAGGUCACUCGGGUCAUUCAGUGUCCUGUGGGUGAGAUUCAGUCAAAAAGUCAAAUAAUUCUUUGUUAGUCCAAGGCAGCCAGUCAAAACAAAGCACGACAGUGUAAAGGUCACCAUCAGCAAGAAUGCCGCAAACUAACCACCACAUUUUCAAACUGAUGAAAUUUUCUUUGAUUGAAAUAAGGGCAAGAAAUUUCGAUUGUUCUGGAAGAACCCUCCAUGAGGAAAGCAUGUACCGGACAGGUUCAACCAUAAAUUUUUAGGACCCUCCUAGAUAAUGGAAUUUAGUUUGAAAUUUUUGGAGCCCUCCUGGAUAAUGGAAUUUAAUUUUAAAAGGUUCUCAAGACCCUCCUGGAUAAUGGGACUUAGUCGAAUUCCAAGACCUUCAUAGAUAACAAGAUUUAGCAUAAGCUCUACCUCUAGGAAAAAUAAACUAGCGUUGAAAUUUUGACUAUUAGAACAUGAUUUAAUUUUCAGGGCCCUCCUGAAUAAUGAGAUUUAGUUUUUAAAUUCUUAUAGUUCUUUUGAUAACAUGAUUCGAUUAACACUCACAGAUGUGCCUAGAUACCUAAUUGAUGCAGAAAAAUUUCUUUUGUUAUUUGUUUUGUUGUAAUCAGGCGCCCAUCUAGAAAACAAGGGAAUACAGUUCAAGUUUUAGCAAUCAGGCACCCACCGGGAGAACAAGGGAAUACAAUUUAAGUUUUAGCAAUCAAGCGCCCACUUGGAGAACAAGGGAAUAUAGUUCAAGUUUUGGCAAUCAGGCGUCCACCUGGAGAACAAGGGAAUACAGUUCAAGUUUUUGGCAAUCAGGCACCCACCUGGAGAACAAGGGAAUACAGUUCAUGUUUUUGGCAAUCAGGUACCCAACUAGAGAACAAGGGAAUACAGUUCAAGUUUUUAGCAAUCAGGCACCCACUUGGAGAACAAGGGAAUACAAUGGAAGUUUUGUAUGAUGACCCGGCCAGUUGUCUCAUGAGUUACCACUCUGUUUCCCCUAUUUUUUCUUCUUAUUUCUUUGUCUAUCGGUUCUAUAUGUGAUCGGGUUGGUUAGCUUGGGUUCAGAAAGGAUUUGGUAAGGUUUGAGACACUUAGUCUCUUUUGAAGAAGCUUAAGUUGGAAAAGUCAACCGGAUGUUGACUUAUGUGUUAGAAGGCUCGGAUGUGAGUUCACAUGGUUCGGUUAGCUUUAGUAGGUGAUUUGGGACUUAGGAGCGUGAUCGGAAUGAGUUUUGGAGGUCCGGAGUAGAUUUAGGCUUGAAUUGACGAAAUUGGAUUUUUGGCGAUUUCCAGUUGAUAGGUGGGAUUUUGAUAUAGGGGUCGGAAUAGAAUUUUGAGAGUUGCAGUAGUUCCGUUGUGUCAUUUGGUAUGUGUGUGCAAAAUUUCAGGUCAUUCGGACGUGGUUUGGUUGGGAUUUUUAUCAAACGCGUAAUUUAGAAGAUUUUGGAAUUCUUAGGCUUGAAUCUGAUGCGAAUUUGGUGUUUUGAUGUUGUUUUGAGCGUUCUGAAGGUUGGAACAAGUUUGAAUGAGGUUAUGGGAUAUAUUGGAAUGUUUGGUUGAGGUCCCGGGGGCCUCGAGUGAAUUUCCGAUGGUCAAUCGGACCAUUUCAAGAUGUUUGGAAUUGCAGAAAACUGUUGUGUGUUGUAGAGGAUUUAGACCUUCACGUUCGUGAGUGGGUCCUCGCGUUCGCGAAGGGUCAGUUGGUCAAGGCUGGGAUUUAAGCCUUUGCGUUCGCGAUGAAAGCUCCACGUUCGCAAAGGGCUGAGUAUUUGGUCAUCGCAUUCGCGUGAAGGGGACCGCGUUCGCAUAGAGGAAUUAGGCAGCUGAGCUUCAGGGUAUUUUAUUCAUCACGUUCGCUAGAGAGGUAACGUGAUCGCGAAGAGUGGUCUAAGGAAAGCAUCGUGUUCACGAUAAGAAGGUUGCGAUUGUGAAGAGGAAAUUUUGGUCAAAGUUGGUUUGUGCUUCGCGAACGCGAGGCAUUGACCGCGUUCGCGAAGAAGGAUUUCAGACCUGGGCAGAAUGUUUAAAUAGUCGCCUUGUCCGCGAUUUUGGAUUUAUUUUCACCAUUGUUGAGCGUUUUUGGAGUUGUUUUGAAGAGGAUUGAAGAGGAAUUCAAGGAGAAUCACUUAGAGGUAAGAUUGAUGGACUUAAUACUCGAUUAUAAUGUGAAAUCUACCUAAGUAAUCAUGGAAACUAAGCCUAAAAUGGAAGAACUAGGGCUUGAAAUUGGAGACCUAGAAAUUGGGAAUUGAGGGGUCAUUUAUGGUUGGAUUUUGAUGAUUUUGGUAUGUAUGAACUCGGGGAGUGAUAAGGAAUACAUUGAUGUGAUUUUUACCAGAAUUGGAGACGUGGGCUCGGGGGUCGGGUUUUGGUAAUUUCGAAAUUUAAGUUGUAAAUUGAAUAUUUUUGCUUGAGCUUCGUUCGCUUAGCAUAUUUUGACGCUGUGGUUCUGAUUUUGGAUAGAUUAGACGCGAGUGGAGGCCGAUUCGAAGGGCAAAGACAUCGCGGGCUAGAGUUUGGACCUGAUUGAGAUGAGUAAUGAUUGUAAAUGAUGUCCUAAGGGUAUGAAACCCCGGAUUUCACAUUGUUGUGCUAUAUUGAGGUGAUGCACACGCUUGAUGACGAGCGUGGGGUCGUGCACUAUUGGAAAUUGUUACUUAGUCCGUCCCGAAUGACUAUUUUACCGCGUAUUUGACUGAAACCUAUUUGUGAACAUCAUGUUUUGGGUUGAAUUCUAUAUUUGGGCCUUGUGCCAACUAUUUGAAUCCUUAGGGGAUUUGUAUUGAUAUUUCCUCAUUAUUUUGACUUUAUACUUGAACUCAGUCAUGUUAUAUUCCACUGUUUUCAUAACUUAGUCAUGUUUACUCUAUUUUAACACUUAAAUGAUAUUUUGGGCUUAGAAUCAUGUUUUACUAUUGUCCGAGUGGCUUGUGAGUAUUUUGACUGAGUAAGGCCGAGGCCUAUGUUGUGAGGAAACACUAACUAUAAUUAUGAGUCUGAGGGCCCGAGAUAUGUACGCCACGAGGUGGCUUGUUGAUAUGAGGCUGAGAGCCUAGUGAUGAUGCCAUGAGAUGGCUUGAUAUUGCGCUUGGGCCGUAAGGGGCCCCUCCAGGAGUCUGCACACCCCUAGAGAGCGUGGGUACCCAAUGUGAUGUGGGAGAUAGACCGAGGGGCUGGUGUUGUUCUAUGAUCUUGCCUGAGGGGCGAUCAUUUAUGUGUUUAUCUUUCCUAUCUGCCUGUUAUUUGCUUGCUUAAUUGUUAAAAAGGCAUUUUAUGAACUUUUAAACUUAACACAGUAAUUUUGCACAUCUUUACUAUUUCACUGUUUUACCGGCUUUUACUGCUUCCUUAUAGUCUAUAAUGUGCCUUACGUGGUUUUCUUGCUUUCGGUCUUAUUUAUGAUUAUUACUCACUGAUUUGGAGUACUCACUUUACUCCCUGCACCCUGUGUGCAGAUUCAGGCAUUGUUGAUCCUGCUUGCGAGAGUUGAGAGCUCCCUGCAGAUUUCGGAGUCACGAGGUAGCUGCUUGGCGUCCGCAGUCCCGUAUUUCUCUCCCUUUAUCUCAUUUCUUUUCCCUACUUAGUGACUUUGUAAUAGCUUGAUAGACUUUUCAGACUUUUGUUAUAAUUGAUAGAUGCUCAUGACUAGUGACUCCCUGGUAUCGGGCUGUGUUGGGUUUAUCUUCCGCCACUGUAUUAUUAACUACUUACUUUUGAAUUAUUUAUCAUGUUUUAAAGUUAAUUCUUAUUGUUUAAUUGCUUAAACUGAAAUGGGUAAGUGUCGGCUAGACUUGUCUUCACGAGAGGCGCUAUCACGACCGGGACUGGGUUUUGGGUCAUGACAUUUUGGUAAUCAGGCGCCCACCUGGAGAACAAGGGAAUACAAUUCAAGUUUUGAUAAUUAGGCGCCCACCUGGAGAAUAAGGGAAUGCAAUUCAAUUUUGGCAAUCGGGCGCCCACCUGGAGAACAAGGGAAUACAGUUCAAGCUUUCGGCAAUCAGGCGCCCACCUGGUUUUGGGGCCCCAUACCAAACGACCCCAUUUUGGGGCCCUUAUCAUCACAACCAUUGAUCUUAUGUGAUCCAACAGCUGUGAACUAGGCACUAGUGUUAUAUUUAAUUGUCCAAACACAAUCCCCCCCAAACCCUAACUCACAACCCACUUCGUCUCCCUCUCCCAUCUCGUUAAAUCCUAGCCGCCCGUAAAACCUCCAUCAACCAACUGUCGUUCCAACCCCGCCAAAUGACUUCCAAAUUCGCUUAAAUCCACACCCCAUAUUGUUCAUGCCCACCUCAUUGCCGAGACACCAUUAAACUCCUAAAAAAUCAAACAAAUUGCUCUUAAUUUCAGAUCUAGGGAUUCCAGAAUUAGCCCUAUUUUUCUCUUUUUCGAUUUUCUUUAUAAAUUAGACUCGAUUUGACUAAAAACUUACGGUAAUAGAUUGCUAUCUACAAGAGGAAUCGAUUGACGAUAGUUGUUAUCACUUCGGGACCGCCAGAUUUGGGUGACUCGUCGAAUUCCGGUCGAAAUUCAUCAUCUGUAUCUUUCUUGGGGUAGGUUUGGGGUAAGAGCUCUCACUAUUCGUCUUUUUAUCAUUAUCAUAGCUUGCAUGAUUCUGAUUUGUAGAUUAAUUUAGGGUUAGGUUUCAUGUUUUUUUUGUUAAAAUUUGCUUGAAUUCUCAGUUCAGUGGCUAAAUUAGUCAGCCUUAGCAAUUUCUUGUCGAUGUUUGUUCAUGAUGUUCCUCAAUUUGAUUCAUGACAAAAUUAGUUAGGGCUGGGAGUAAUUCAGGAUUUAAUUGCACAAAUAUUAAUUUUUUUUUCUUAUUAUUGAUUCGUGCCCAGUUUGUUUUGUUUGUCGGUUUUGUUUUGUGAACAAAUUAAUCUUGUGAGGAGUAAAAGGGUUCGAAACAGUAACUUAAGGGGGUAAUUUGGGGUUUAGAAAUGAGGGUUUCAGAUAAGGUAUCUAGAGGGUUCUGGAGCAUGGACAACUUGCUUUAUCCUGCCAGUAUAAGUUGCUGAAGCCAAUUAGAAAUGGCCAGUUGUCCAAUUGUUGUUAAAAAAUAUGCUUUGUGAGGGGUGUUUUCAAAAAAAUUAUUCCUUGGCUGUGAAGGGACACAACAGAUUUCUGGGGUAUAAAUACGACAUUCUCCUCACUGAAUGGGACAGGGAAUAGACUCUAUAAAAUAUCUUUCUGAAAAUUCAGUUUACUUUUUUCAGCAGUUUUUUUUUUGGUUUUCUGCUUUGGACCUCAAGUUUUGGAGUGGUUUUUCCUUGAUAUUCUUGGGUUUCUAAUCUCAAAAUUGCUAGAAUAUGAAGUCUUUCCAUCUUAGCUAUCAAGUUUUAUUUUCUGGGUUUUGGAAGAGGAAUUUCUUGAAGCUGUGUUGGAUUUCUGUUGGAUCUCCACUUGUUUUCAGACUUACACCUGCUUUAAUUUUGCUGAUUUUUCUACAUCUAGGUUUGUAAACUCUUACCUUAUUCCAUGUUGAUUCAAGGCAAUAAAAGGAUAAUGUGCUCUAUGUUAGAUUCGUUGUUGUAUUGUUGUAUAGUAGUAUGUUUAGUUUUCUGGUAAGGUCAAGUUAUCCUUGUUGAAAUUUGUAAGUAACUUGAAUGUUGAAAGUGUUUGGUUUAAGGUUAACCAUAUAACUUGUAAGUGGGGUGGGCAUAAAAUCCGAAAAAUCGAAUUCCGAACCGAACCAAAUUAAUUUGGUAUUUCGGUUUCGGUUUUUUUGGUUUUUUGGUCUAAUUCAGUACUGGAUUUUUGGUAUUUCGGUAUUUCGGUUCGGUUCUCGGUAUUACAACAACAAAAAUAAAAAGCAGUACACAUACCGAACUAGAGAGCGGCCUGCCAGAAUAGUUUAAGGUAUGGAAAAACGUCUUAUCAUCAAUCUGUUCAACUUCAAAGUCAAAACAAGGCUCUAGCUUUUGAUCACCAGGUAAAUACACUUCCCUAUUUCGUAUAAAAGAAGAUAUAGAUAAGAAAUAUAACAACAAACAUUAAGAAAAAAUGAAAACAGAAGUACAUGGAAACGAAUACGCACUCUCCCAAUUGCAUAUUUGCUUCAACAAAGUUUGAGAAUGCAGUCGUAAGCUUAAAAUCAACCGUCUCUGAAAUGUCAUUUACAAAUGUAAAUCUUCCUUUGAUAACCUUCGAGGAUCCCCCAACUGCACUAACACUAGAUUGCCAGUCAUUCAUAUACGGCGACUAUUUUACAGCCGUGGGGCGCCUUUUCCGUGUUAAAAUUGCAGGAGUAGUUUCAACAUCUGUUUGUAUCUGAACAAUAUUUCUUGAUACCGACUGAUCAGGUUUAGACUUAUUUACAGCACGAGUUGUCAGAUCAUUUCCAGAUUGAUUUACAUUACGUCUCCCUCCUUGUGUAAUGGCAGCAAUUAGAUCAAGUUGAGAAUCAGUAUAUUCAAAAUCAGAACCAAGUGAAGAUCACCCCUGUGUCGACAUGGAGCUUAAAUUAGAAAAUACUAGUGAAUAAAUAAAUAUACAAAGUUAAGAAAUUUAGAAAAAAAGAAUGAAAAGUUAUAUAUAGAAGACAUUACUAGAAGGCAAAUUCACAUUACUUCCACCAACAUCCACUUGACCAAUACCAUCAACCCGACAUGCUAAACACAUAAAAGCAUUAUCAACAUCACUACUUAAAUAAAAAAUAAAAAACUAUCAAGAACCUAUCAUUUACAUACUAACUACAGAAUUAGUAACAUCAACAUCGUACCCUGUAGAGCAGUAUUAGACUCAAUAACAACAUCUUCUCGUGUCUGUACAGGGAUUCCUGAUGGCAGCGGAGCAGGACCCGACUUUUUAACAUCAUGAGAUGACUGCUUAUAUGUUGCUUGUUAUGUAAUAGCGGUGAUUUGAUCAAUUGCAGAUAGUUCAAAGUUAGAAUCCAAGCCAAAAUCAUGCUCAUUUACGAAGGGGGCUGAAAAACGUUUUUUAAAAAAAGGUUAGUCAAUGCACAAAUACAUAGAGUUAAAUAAAUAAAAAAAUAAUCAAAAAUUAUAUAUACAACAUUUUACCAGAACGCAAAUCAUCAUCUUGUUGCUUGUGCUGAAAAUNNNNNNNNNNNNNNNNNNNNNNNNNAUCAGUGCACUCAACUUCAAUUUCAAAGCUUAGACCACGCACAUCAAAUUGUUUCUUCUCAUCAUCAGUUGGGGUGAUGUUCUUUAGCUGCAAUUAUUAAGCACACUAGUUAGAAAUAGAAAUGAUAAUAAAGUAUGAAAGAAAAAAGAUCCAUAUUAUCAUAUGAUACCAAUAUAGUAUACAUGUAUACCAACAGAGUAUAUCACUGAACUGGGAUAUAGUAUACAUGAUACCAAUAUAGUAUACAUGUAUACCAACAGAGUAUAUCACUAAAUUGGAAUAUUGCUACAACUGUGACUAAACUAGUGUGCCAAAACAUUAAGAGAGGCAAUAAAACUAUGAGAAAAUUACCUGCUUGCGUUGCAAGCUACACAUUUGCAAAGCAACUUGCUCAUUCGGGAUUUGACCCAUGACUACCCAUUUCAAAAUUCGUGGAAGUUUGUUGUUUCCAAGAUGAUCAGCAAAGUGACCAUCCAAACUUGGGCAGCAUUCAUACAACCAAGUCUGUAAAGCCAACGGGAAGCCACCAAGUCUAUAAAAAGAAGGCUUUAUCUUGAAACUUGUUGGAACACGAGUCAAUUGUAGCUUUAUAAACAUCUAUACCCCAGGGAUAAUUAUUAAAAUCACCAGACUCAACCAAGUCAAUGUAAGACCGUGAAAUAGCCUUUGUUUUGAGUUGAGAAAAUAAGAAGUUGUUGACAAAAUACAGAACUGCUAUCUUCAACGCAUCAUCAUCCGUUUCCCAUUUCUUUUUCUUAAAACAGUCUGCUAGUUGGGCAAAUGUCACGGAUGCAGUCCCAAAAUAUUUUGAAAUCAACCUAUUCUCUGCUAUGCUCUCUAUACUUGUAUCACCCUUACAUUUCAACCCAGUAACAAGUGCAAAUUCACCCAAGCCAAACCGCAACCUAGAAUCAUUCACUACAAACCGCAUCUCAUUUUUAACCUCAUGAUGUACUUCUCUCAUAAGCAAAUGGUGCAUAACACGAAUCUGCACAAUCAGUGGUGGCAGAUCCAAAAAAUAGCCAAAGCAUGUUUUCUUAAACAGUCGAAGUUGCCGCUUUGAUAAAUUCGCUUUCAAUUGAUGAAUAACAUGGCAAUUGGUAUCCUAAUCAACCUUUGGUUUAUAAUCUAAGUCAAUAGGCACAAGGAAAUCCCAACACUGCAAAACAUGUUCAUAUAAAAUAAUUUCAGAAAUAGAAUUCACUUAAAAUGCAACUCAACCAACUAAAAAUAUCACAACUACCAUACGAUACCAACACGACAUAUAAUUAUACCAGCAGGGUAUACAAUUAUACUGACUAAUUUCCGGCAACUACAAAUGACUAUACUACUAUUACAUAACAGAUAGGAAUAAAGAGAAAAAGCAAAAAGGAAUGCAGCUAUAAAGUAUUUUCAAGAUACUGUAUGAUACUACUAUUAUUAAAGGAAAAACAAAUAGCGAAGACAGCUAAAAAAAGAUCCAAAAGCAUAUGAUAGUAUAUAGCUAUACUAACAGGGUAAAUAGUUGUACGGGGUUGUUCCAACAAUUGUCUAUAACUAUAAAAACUAUCACAUAACACACAUACACUAUGUCUAUAGGCACAAAACUUCUAUGGGAAACAUCAUGCGUGCCAUUGCCACUGCAACAAAACACCAGUUACGCAACAAUCAGAUAAAGAACAUAAAUGCAAUUUUUUAGAAGAACUAUGUCAAAUAGCAUUGCCUCCCCCUUCCAGACUCAAGUACUAUGUCAAUCAUGUAACUGAGCACCUGGCAUCUUUUUUGUAUACUACUUAGCACCAAUUCAACAAAUCAUUUUCAUUAGAAAAUAAGUCAAUCAUGUCCUAACUUAUUACUUAAGGUUAAGGGAUUCUUCAGAUGUUUCAAAAGGGACAAUGGGUGUUAUUCAGAAAAUGCCCCAUACAUGAUCACUCUACCCCGAUGCCUGCCUAUAAUCAAUGCCAGUGGUGGUCACCAGCCAAGGCCGUUGGGCUUUUGCACAUUGACCCCAUCUAUACCAUGCCACCUAUAAAGAAAAGCUCAUUCUGCACACAUAACUUACACGGUCCCAUUCAUUCCAUACUUGCUUCUCCCCACCACUAUCAACUGGCUGAAAAUCAGAAAUCACACAAAGCAGCUCUGGCUUCAAUAAAUUUGGUUGACAACAACAGCUACUGAUUGACAACACUUGUGAAUCAGCGACCAUUUUUUUAAACCUCAAGCAGAACAUUAAUUUAAUCUGUCUAUUUAAUUCAAAAAAUUAACACAACUGACUAUAACUAUAAUAUAAUACAAAAGCAUAAUAAGAAAUCAAAAAAUAACAAUGUACUAUACAUUAAAAAUCGCAAAGAUCAUAAUUGUAAGAAAAUUACCUUCUUGGGUGCGACACCAAUUUUUCUUUUCUUUAACUGAGAAUCAUCGCUACAAUCAACAUCUACUGGUUGAGUCUCUGUUUCAGGCACGGAUUCACGUCGGCUUCCCCCUAACUCAGAAUCCUCAACAACUUUACCUUUUCCCUUAUCAGUCACAGGAACAUCUCCUUUGACUGGUUCGGAAUUUGUGUGGGGUAUUGACAGGUAGGGAGUUUCAUCGACUGACACGGCAUUAAUAUUUUUGCCUUUUCCACCCUCUAAUUCUACAUUUUCAGUUGUAUUUUCAACAUGACUACUGCUAGGGUUACGACUAAGUGGAGACUGAGAAUCAGAAAAUAAGGAAAAACUAGGCCCAGACAUGGCUGAGGCAACGGAUUCAGCAGCUACUUCUUUUGAAGAAUGAUAUUGCCCAAAGCGCCACCAUCUACGCGCACAACUCUUCCGACCCAUAGAGAAAACAACAACCCAUAGACAUUGAUUCACAAAAGUACAAAGGAAAAUAUAAAAAUCCUAUGAUUUUGAAAACCCACUUUCACUAAAAUGUACUUUCAGAAGCAAAAAAUUCACCCAAAGCAAAAAUGUCACCCAAAAUUAGGUACUAGACGAAGAGAUAGAACGGAAUCGGAAGAAAAAAAUUACAACUCGAAUGUGUUUCACUUUUGCGUUCUCAUCGAUUGGCUAUGGAGUUAUGGAAAGUGUACUCUGUUAACUGAUAGAGAAAGAAGGAAAACGUGGGAAUAAUGGGCAGAAUGGGCUGGAUCGAAGAUAAGGGAGAGAUGGGUAGAUUGGGCCGGGGCCGGGUAAAUAGAUUGGGCCGACUAGGUAGGCAGGGUAAAUAGUUUGGGGAUGGGUAUUAAAAGGUAAAUAGUUUGGGCUUAAUAGGUAUAAAGUGAGAUUUUCUCCUUAAUAAAAAUGGCCUAAUUGCUUAAUUUAAAACCUCAUUGCAAUUAAAUCCUUAUUCCCUUUUUCUUCUUUCUUUUUUUAAUUAAACACCCUAAAUUAAAAACCUAAAUUAAUUUAAAAAUGUAAAAUUAAACUAAUUACUUAAUUACAAAAAUUAUAAAAGUUACUUAAUCCUAAAUCAAAAGAAAAAAAUCAAUAAUCUAAAAAUAGAAAGGGAAAAAUGUAGAAAUGGGCCAUUUUGUGAUUUUUAUUUUUAAUAAAGCAAAUAAUUAAUUAAUUAAUCCUAAAAAUGUAAAAACAAACCUAAAUGCAAUGCAUGGUAUUUUUUGGCAUUUUUCAUGAUUUUUAAUAAAAUUAAACGUGCAUAGAAAUGUAAACAAUUAAUAAAAUUCUACAAAAAUUCCUAAAAUGGCAAAUAAUUAGGAAAAAAUGUAUUUUGUUGGGAUUUUAUAGGAGUAGUUCGCAUAAGGCAAAAAUCAUGUGCUCACACUGGUCAGGAUCACUUUAGGUGUGGUCUUGGACCUUUGUUUCGUAUGUUGGGCUCAAUCUCAGGGCCCAAACCGUGUCAUGCUUUUACAAUUAACGAUUUGAAGCUAGCAUAUAAUCAGUUCUGUUUCUAAACCAGAAUUCGUAAAAUUAAGGCAACUUUGUAAUGGAUUUGGUAGUUGUUCUUUUACUGGUAGUAUUCGAAAUCGAAAUGCAUUAACGAAUUUUCAGCUUAUCUUUUAGAUUGUCACGAUCUUCUUCCUCUCAAUAUUCAGAUGGUGAAUAGGAUCUUGCUUCUCAAACUUUAAGGCUAAUAAUGAGAAUAGUAUUUUGUUAAUGGGAAAUUCAACUAUGUUCUAGGUGUUGUUCUUGCUGCAUUUGGUUUUGAGAGUUUGAUUUAAAUAAUUUAUUACAUUUGUUAGUGGGGUCAUGAAGUUUUAAUUACUAUCUUACGGAUUGUAUUUGGGUUUAGAUAUAAGUUAGUUCAUUUCCUUAAUUAAUAAAGAAUGUUCCAUGAAAGUUAAUACCAAAGUAGUUAGAUCUCAUACUUUCUUCAAUAAUUUUUACAACUUUGGCCUUCGCCACAAUCUCAAAGUAUUUUUUUUUUUGGAAAAUACGAUGAACAUUCUAGUUUCCUCUAGGUACGUAGUAAAACCAUCACAACUAUGGAUACGAUUCCCGUGGCGUGGUUGUGAUACCAAAUUAGUUUUAAAUAUAAAUAUUCAUAGUUCACUUAGUUGAAUGAUUUUCCUUUAAUAAAAUUGAGGUGUGUCAUACAAUCACCUAGUCUAUGGGCCUCACAUCGACAUCUUAACUAGUGUUGAAAAUGCCUUGAAUUCUCGUAGUUUGCUUUAGGCGCGGUAACUAAAUAAAUUGUCAUAGCUACGGGUACGGUUCCCGUGACGUAGUUAUGAUGCUUAAUUUCUAAAACUGGGGGUACAUUUAUGUGACCCGACCACAAUUUAAUCUUGUUAAUAAAAUAAACAUGUUGUGGAUCGUGGGUACGAUUCCCAUGACAUGAUUCGCAACGUGUAAUCAAAUAAUUAGUUGUAUAGUGAUUGGAUUGUUAAAAGCGAUUUUUUAAAAAAGGAAUAAAUGCACAUAUGUUUCAAAAAUAUUUUUAAAAUCAAAUAAACGUGCCAAUAUUAACAGUUGAGCGACCGUGCUAAAACCACAGAACCCCAGAAUACCUAACACCUUCUCCCGGGUUAACAUAAUUUCUUACCCGGAUUUCUGUAUUUCGCGGACUGUAAAACAGAGUCAAUCUUUCCUCGAUUCGGGAUUUUAAACCGGUGACUUGGGACACCAAAAAUUAUCCCAAGAGGAUUUUGAUUGUCACUUAAAUUGGAAAAACUCCUUUAUACCCCUUCCGGUGGUAAAAAAAGAGGUGUGACAAUGAGUGCCAAAGAGCAGGUGGAAUUUCAAAGAAGGAUGAAAUGCCUCUUAAUACUAUUCUUGAGGUUGACAUAUUUGACGUGUGGGGCAUUGACUUCAUGGGAACCUUUGUAAGUUCAUGUGGCAACACAUACAUUCUAGUGGCCGUUGAAUAUGUUUCCAAAUGGGUUGAGGCUGUGGCUUUACCGAACAACGAGGCCCCGAGUGUGGUAGCUUUUCUCAAGAAGAAUAUCUUUACUCGGUUUGGCACUCCUAAAGCAAUCAUUAGUGAUGUGGUUUCUCAUUUCUGCAAUAAGGCAUUUGACACUUUACUUGUAAAAUACGGUGUCAAUCACAAGGCUUCAACCCCUUACCAUCCGAAGGCUAGUGGGCAAGUUGAGGUAUCCAACAGGGAGAUCAAGAGCAUAUUGUCAAAGACGGUUAAUGCAAAUAGGACUGAUUGGUCGAAGAAACUGGAUGAUACUUUGUGGGCUUACAGGACUGCUUACAAGACUCCGAUUGAUAUGUAAAUAAGCGGCAAUUAGCACAUUAAGUCCACAAAUACAGUAAUUUCAACAAACAAUAAAGCCAAGCAUAGCUUAUAUUUAACAAGCUCAAAUUUUGAACCCUGAACCAGAGAUUCUGCGUUCGAUCCCCAACAGAGUCACCAGAGCUGUCACACCUCCUUUUUGCCGAUAGGGAUAGGGAGUUUUUCCAAUUAAAGUUUCCAUAAUCGAAAUGAGAUUAUUUAUUUAUUUAGAGACGCCACUUGGAAUAUUUAUGGUGUCCUAAGUCACCUAUUUAUUUUAAAAUUCCAAAUCGAGGAAAUUUGACUCUUAUUUAUGGUCUACGAACACAGAAGACCGGGUAAGUAAUUCUGUAAACCCAGGAGAAGUUGUUACGCAUUUCUGAGUUCCGUGGUUUUAGCAAGGUCGUUUUUAAUCAUACCUAGCUAUAAUUUGUUUAAUUAUGUAUUUUAGAACCAAUGUGUAUUUUACCCUUACCGAUCUUGGUUGAUUAUUCGUAAUUAACAAAUUAUCUUGAAACGAGUCACGCGUACGUGUAUUCAUUUUGUUUGGCACGUCAAGAAUUAUGUCACACAUACGUGUACAGAAUUAAUAAUAUUUUAUUAUUAUUAAGAUUGUUUGGCCGAAGUUGCGUGAACACAUACCUCGAUUUAUUUUGAAAAAUCAUAAUUAUGUCACGCGAACGUGUACACAAUCACGAUAAUAGAUUAAGCCGCGCCUAAAGCAUUUUUCUAAGAAUAUUCAUUUUUAAAUCAUACUCGUGUCAUGCGAACGUGUAUACAAUUGAUAAUAUUUUAUUAUUAUUAAGAUUGUUUUGCCCAACGUUGCACGAACGCAUACUUUGGUGUGAAUGUCAGAAAUCCUAAGAAUUGACUACCCAGGUGAGAUCGGCCUAAACAUGCCACUAGCGGACCCAAACAUGCCACUAGCGGACCCCAAAUGAAUUAAAGAUAAAAUAAUAAGAUUGCCUCGAGCGUAAACCCCUCAGUUCAUCUCAAUCCCAAACCCGCAUAUCCAACAUCAAUUUAAUGAAUUUGACCCAAACCCAUUUUUGAUCAACCCCCCACGAUUCAAACAAUUCACUGUUUACCAUUUCAUUCAAAUUCAUUCAUGUCUUCAUUUUCAUUGAACAUAUCUUGUAAGACAAAAUAAAUAAAAACAAAUGAAACAAUAUAACAAUAAAGCUAACCCAGAUUAAACAAAUUAUAAACAUAUUCAAACUUGUUGAAACAAAGAGGUAUAUCUAUCGAUUAAAUAAAGAGAUGAAAAGAAAUGGACCUCAAUAAUUAACUCCUUAGUAUUGACGAGAACUUGGUUACGGCAAAACUCCGGCGAGUCGAAUCUGACCAAGAAAUGAAACGGCAGGAGCUCGGAUCGCGAAUCACAGAAUUAACCUCGAACGAUACCAACAACCAAAAACUAGUGAAGAUUAAUUUGUUUUGGUGAACACAAGUGUUUGUGGUAUUGUCUAUUAGUGGAAAGGUGGUGUUGAUUGAGAUUUUUAGGCAAAGAAUGUGGUGUUUCACGGUGAUGCAGGUGGCGGGUUCAUAGAGUUUUCACAUAGCUUGUUCUUCCAAAUCUCUCUAUUAUUCUCUGCCCAUCCUCUCUCUAUGUGUGUAUGCGAGAGCUGAUCGAUUAAGGAAAUUGGGUCGUUUUUCUUUCGAAGGAAGCAGCGGCGUUCAAGGUCCAAAUUCGAAAGGGGGGGGGGGGGGGGGUCUUCCGUUUUUAGGAUAGAGAUCAAGGUCCUAUUCUUUUCUUGUGUGAUUAGGUUUUAUUUAGCAUUAUAAGAAGGUUGUGGGCUCAAAUGAGUGAUGGGUCAAUUGAUAUUGGGUUUUGGGUAGUGGGCUUGGC